RNAcentral lists this ribosomal RNA (564 nucleotides) under uncultured bacterium. RNAcentral's name for it is "bacterial SSU rRNA". It matches the Rfam family "Bacterial small subunit ribosomal RNA", at positions 338 to 916 of the family's 1533-position model. The record is from RNAcentral.
CCUACGGGAGGCAGCAGUAGGGAAUUUUCCGCAAUGGGCGAAAGCCUGACGGAGCAAUACCGCGUGAGGGAUGACUGCCUAUGGGUUGUAAACCUCUUUUUUCAGGGAGGAAUAAAUGACGUGUACCUGAAGAAUAAGCAUCGGCUAACUCCGUGCCAGCAGCCGCGGUAAGACGGAGGAUGCAAGUGUUAUCCGGAAUCACUGGGCGUAAAGCGUCUGUAGGUGGCUCGACAAGUCAACUGUUAAAUCUUGAAGCUCAACUUCAAAAUCGCAGUCGAAACUAUCGGACUAGAGUAUAGUAGAGGUAAAGGGAAUUUCCAGUGGAGCGGUGAAAUGCGUAGAGAUUGGAAAGAACACCGAUGGCGAAGGCACUUUACUGGGCUAUUACUGACACUCAGAGACGAAAGCUAGGGUAGCAAAUGGGAUUAGAUACCCCAGUAGUCCUAGCCGUAAACAAUGGAUACUAGGUGUUGAACAGAUCGACCUGUGCAGUACCAAAGCUAACGCUUAAGUAUCCCGCCUGGGAAGUAUGCACGCAAGUGUGAAACUUAAAUGAAUUGACGG